UGGGGAAUAUUGCACAAUGGGCGCAAGCCUGAUGCAGCGACGCCGCGUGAGGGAUGACGGCCUUCGGGUUGUAAACCUCUUUCAGUAGGGAACAAGGCCCGCAAGGGUUGAGGGUACCUGCAGAAGAAGCGCCGGCUAACUACGUGCCAGCAGCCGCGGUAAUACGUAGGGCGCAAGCGUUGUCCGGAAUUAUUGGGCGUAAAGAGCUCGUAGGCGGUUUGUCGCGUCUGCUGUGAAAACGCGAGGCUUAACCUCGCGCCUGCAGUGGGUACGGGCAGACUAGAGUGCGGUAGGGGAGACUGGAAUUCCUGGUGUAGCGGUGGAAUGCGCAGAUAUCAGGAGGAACACCGGUGGCGAAGGCGGGUCUCUGGGCCGUUACUGACGCUGAGGAGCGAAAGCAUGGGGAGCGAACAGGAUUAGAUACCCUGGUAGUCCAUGCCGUAAACGUUGGGCACUAGGUGUGGGGCCCAUUCCACGGGUUCCGCGCCGCAGCUAACGCAUUAAGUGCCCC
This 511-nucleotide ribosomal RNA is filed under the name uncultured bacterium. RNAcentral's name for it is "bacterial SSU rRNA". It matches the Rfam family "Bacterial small subunit ribosomal RNA", at positions 355 to 870 of the family's 1533-position model. The record is from RNAcentral.